CUUUGGAAUCAUUGUUGGAAAUGCAACAUGAAGUAUUGAGUUCAGAUGUUACGUCAUCAAAGACAUCUUGUGAUAAUCAUGACAAUUUACCCAACGUUAUCAUGGGUGGAAAACCUGGUGCUCUACCAAACUCUCAGUUUUUAAAGAUAGAGGAUCCUGUCCGACGUAGAGUUCAAACUGCUUCUGUUAUUGGAAAGAACAACACAAGAGGUUUUGAGCU
This is a long non-coding RNA of Xenia sp. Carnegie-2017, 220 nucleotides long. RefSeq lists it as uncharacterized. The record is from RefSeq and is a predicted model, not a curated record. The transcript is spliced from 3 exons. Lineage: Eukaryota; Metazoa; Cnidaria; Anthozoa; Malacalcyonacea; Xeniidae.